UGGCCUACGGGAGGCAGCAGUGGGGAAUAUUGCACAAUGGGGGAAACCCUGAUGCAGCAACGCCGCGUGAGCGAAGAAGGCCUUCGGGUCGUAAAGCUCUGUCCUAAGGGAAGAUAAUGACGGUACCUUAGGAGGAAGCCCCGGCUAACUACGUGCCAGCAGCCGCGGUA
RNAcentral lists this ribosomal RNA (170 nucleotides) under uncultured bacterium. RNAcentral describes it as "partial 16S ribosomal RNA". It matches the Rfam family "Bacterial small subunit ribosomal RNA", at positions 335 to 522 of the family's 1533-position model. The record is from RNAcentral.